AUGUUUGGAUUUGGUGACUGUCUUGCAGGAGUUAGGAGUGCUUUUCUUUUGGCCCAGGUUUUGGUGUUUCCUAAGUACCUGGAGGGAUGUUUCAAGGCACAUUGGAAGUACAGAAGGGAGGAUAUCUUCCUUGGACACGUGGAGGUGAUGCCCUGGGAGCACAGGCCAUGCUGUCCCUGGAGACCUGCAGCCCCUUCCUCACGACCUGCUGUUUCUCCUCGACCUUCAGGUGAUCCCAUGGUUAUAAGCAGCGGGUUUGAUACACGGCAUGGUGCAGGAUGUGUCCACCUCUCCCCCAAGCCUGUGCACACUCAUAGCAUCCUGGCUCUAGCUUGGCAUCCAGGUCCUUUCUUGCUCUUACAUCCCACGCUCUGCAUUUCAUCCAGCCUCAGCACAAAAACUCCUGGAAACACCUCGUCCUGCACCUCAUCCGCAAGUGACCCCAGGAUUGCCUCCACCACACACCUCAUAGACCUCAAUUUGCAGAACAACGGAGGAAAGGGGGAAAAAAGAGCAUGUUGCGGUGCGGUCUUUACAAAAGCCAUUCAUCCCAGUGCUUUUACUAACAGGCAUCAAAUGAGAUUCCUGCAGUAGAUGAUUUGUUUUGUCCUUCUUCUGCCGGCUCAGAUUAAUCUCUGCUCCUGAAGUGGUGGUGUCAUUUCCCGGAGACGUACGGCAGCAGGAAUCGCGGAGCCCCAUAAAUUCGACUCAAUUCAGGAUCCAUCCGUCUUCCUCUGCGCUCUCCAGCCCCGCGCUCUCUGCAGGGCAAGGGCAGCCCCGCAGGUACCGGCGCGCCCGCCUGUUUGCAGGCUAAUAAAUAAAAAAGCCUCAAGAUGGGAGCGGCUGGA
This 848-nucleotide long non-coding RNA is filed under the name Anas platyrhynchos platyrhynchos (common mallard). Its description in RNAcentral is "lncRNA (ENSAPLG00000027492.1)". The record is from RNAcentral. Lineage: Eukaryota; Metazoa; Chordata; Aves; Anseriformes; Anatidae.